RNAcentral lists this small nuclear RNA (272 nucleotides) under Castor canadensis (American beaver). Its description in RNAcentral is "7SK RNA (ENSCCNG00000013282.1)". It matches the Rfam family "7SK RNA". From Rfam's summary of the family: 7SK was discovered as an abundant small nuclear RNA in the mid-70s but a possible function has only recently been suggested. Two independent studies have found that 7SK RNA binds the CDK9/cyclin T complex (known as elongation factor P-TEFb). Lineage: Eukaryota; Metazoa; Chordata; Mammalia; Rodentia; Castoridae. The record is from RNAcentral.
GGAUGUGAGGGCGAUCUGGCUGCAACACCUGUCACCCCAAUGAUUGCCAGAGGUGAUUCUACUGGUCUGGCUGGCUAGGUGGAUGUCCCCUUCCUCCCUCCCGAAGCUGCACACCCAGUUGAAAAGGACAACCAUCCCUGAUAGAGGAGGACCGUUCUUCGGUCAAGGGCUUAUCAGUAGCUACAUGUCCCUGCUAGAACCUCCAAACAAGCUCUUAAGGAAAACAGGCAAAAAAAAAAAAAAAAGAAUAAGCAAUUCACUGAGAAGUGCAG